RNAcentral lists this ribosomal RNA (442 nucleotides) under uncultured bacterium. Its description in RNAcentral is "bacterial SSU rRNA". It matches the Rfam family "Bacterial small subunit ribosomal RNA", at positions 30 to 507 of the family's 1533-position model. The record is from RNAcentral.
AUUGAACGCUGGCGGCAUGGCUAAAACAUGCAAGUCGAACGCGAACGGGGGCAACCCCUAGUAGAGUGGCGAAAGGGCGAGGAAUAGAUUCCUACGUGCCUCAAGGUCGGGGAUACCUCGGAGAAAUCCGAAUCAAUACCCGAUGUGGUCGGAAACGAUCAAAGGCUUGCUGCCUUGAGAGCGGGGAAUCUCCUAUCAGGUAGUUGGUAGGGUAAUGGCCUACCAAGCCGAAGACGGGUAGCGGGUGUGAGAGCACGGCCCGCCGCAUCGAGACUGAGACACUGCUCGGACUCCUACGGGAGGCUGCAGUAACGAAUCUUCCGCAAUGCGCGAAAGCGUGACGGGGCAAUGCCGCGUGUGGGAUGAAGCCCUUCGGGUGUAACCACUGUCAGGUGCAGGAACUCAAUGACCAUACCCAAAGGAAGCACCGGCUAACUCUGUG